This 114-nucleotide ribosomal RNA is filed under the name Castor canadensis (American beaver). The record is from RNAcentral. Lineage: Eukaryota; Metazoa; Chordata; Mammalia; Rodentia; Castoridae.
UAUGGCUGCACCACCCUGAAUGCCCCUAAUCUCAUCUGAUCGCAGAAGCUGAGCAGGGUCGGACCUGGUUAGCACUUGCAUGAGAGAAGUAAUAGAAGAAGGGAGCUGGCAGAG